CCCUUCCACCCAGCUGCGUUUCUUCUCCUCCGUUGACCCCUUGGAUCGUUGUUAUUGUAUACUUGAUUCCUUCCCUUCCGUCCCGUUUUUUAUCCUCACUGUCUCUCUGACUCCUUCGCCCUUCUUCCGCCCUUAAUCAAUAUGUCCUCUUCCUUACUUCCGCCCUUUCUGCUGAUCUUCCCACCACCUCGCGUUCCUUUCCCGCCUUUCCUUUCCGGUUCCGUCUUUUCCAGCCGCUUUGUUUAUAAAGAAGGGUGGGGUAGACCAAACAUCAUGGCGUCAAGGUUCUUCGUCUUGGUGGUGCUAGGCGGCAGUUGAUACGAGAUUCCUCCCGUUUCCCGCGGAGCAGUCCGCUACCCUUGGCUCUCCCUAGUCCUCUCGACCACCCACCCUUGAGGGGGAGGCAGUCUUGGGGAUCUCAGGGGUGCCACGCGGGUUCAGCGUCCCCUCAGCUCCUCGAUCCGGCUGAGGAGGGGAGCUACAGCUCAGACCCGACUGCUCUACGCGGUGCUUCACUGAGAGCCCUCAAUGAAGCGACCCUGCCGCCAUGCUGGCUCCACCGGAAGUCCCAAUGUUAUUGUGUAUUGAACUGCUUUUUCUGUCAAUUUGUUGUAAAACAUAGUGUUUUGGUACUCAAUUUAUAAAAUCAUAAUGUAAUUUGA
Long non-coding RNA from Anolis carolinensis (green anole), 662 nucleotides. RefSeq lists it as uncharacterized. Lineage: Eukaryota; Metazoa; Chordata; Lepidosauria; Squamata; Anolidae. The record is from RefSeq and is a predicted model, not a curated record. The transcript has 2 exons.